RNAcentral lists this ribosomal RNA (434 nucleotides) under uncultured bacterium. RNAcentral describes it as "partial 16S ribosomal RNA". It matches the Rfam family "Bacterial small subunit ribosomal RNA", at positions 29 to 507 of the family's 1533-position model. The record is from RNAcentral.
GCGCACGCUGGCGGCAGGCUUAACACAUGCAAGUCGAACGGGCAUCUUCGGAUGUCAGUGGCAGACGGGUGAGUAACACGUGGGAACGUACCCUUCGGUUCGGAAUAACUCAGGGAAACUUGAGCUAAUACCGGAUACGCCCUUUUGGGGAAAGGUUUACUGCCGAAGGAUCGGCCCGCGUCUGAUUAGCUUGUUGGUGGGGUAACGGCCUACCAAGGCGACGAUCAGUAGCUGGUCUGAGAGGAUGAUCAGCCACACUGGGACUGAGACACGGCCCAGACUCCUACGGGAGGCAGCAGUGGGGAAUAUUGGACAAUGGGCGCAAGCCUGAUCCAGCCAUGCCGCGUGAGUGAUGAAGGCCUUAGGGUUGUAAAGCUCUUUUGUCCGGGACGAUAAUGACGGUACCGGAAGAAUAAGCCCCGGCUAACUUCGUG